CGCGUAAAGAACUUGCCUCACAGCUAGGGACAACAUUUAGAAGUGAAUGCUAAUACCUGAUAUUAUGAUUUUAAGGCAUCUUAGAAUUAUGAAAGCUAUAAGCACUGUGAGAGAGCUUUGCGUCCCAUUAGCUAGUUGGAGAGGUAACAGCUCACCAAGGCGAUGAUGGGUAGCCGGCCUGAGAGGGUGAACGGCCACAAGGGGACUGAGACACGGCCCUU
RNAcentral lists this ribosomal RNA (221 nucleotides) under uncultured bacterium. RNAcentral describes it as "partial 16S ribosomal RNA". It matches the Rfam family "Bacterial small subunit ribosomal RNA", at positions 114 to 334 of the family's 1533-position model. The record is from RNAcentral.